GACACCGUCCCCGGCCCGUCGCGCUGGGGAUGCGGGGCUGCCUCCUGUCCCCGCCGCGCAGGUAACUGAGGACGGCGCCGGGGGCCUGAGCCGGGAAGCCCCGCGCGGAGGUGCCGCCUGGCAGGGGUAGAGUUGCCACGUGAGGCUACAUUUGUAGGGAGCUGAAAGACUUGUGUGUUGUCAUCUGUAAGUACCUAUCCCUAAUGUAACAUUUAAUUACAGUGUCUUUGAAUUAGAUAGAACCAUCUCUUUUCGUGUCUCACUGUAUAGUAUUUAUUCUUUGCAGUUUUAUACUGCAGUUUUUUUGUGAGUUUUCCACAUGAAUCCUGAAAAACCGAUCAUGAAGAGCAUAGGCAGCUUUGUCAUGGUUUUGUAACUUUGCUAUUGGUAUUCCACAUCAUAACAUCAUGGACAAAAGAGAAGAACUACGUAUCCCAGAGGACCUCACGGUCAGAGAAGGAAGAUACAUCAUGGAAGAUACGUCAUCUGGUUGCGCGCGGUCUUCUUCACUUUCGCUUGCUGCCGGGAGAGGAGUGGGUGUGCUUCCAAGCCGUGCGCCUUCAUCAAGUCCUGUGUGCAGCAUAUGCGUAUCAUCCUUUGGAGCAAGGCCAGUAGCGAUCUUCAGUGGCUUUAUGGUGGCUGGUGGCCUCAUGAUGAGCAGUUUUGCGCCUAACAUGUGCUUUCUCUAUCUUUCAUAUGGGAUUGUUGUUAGGCUUGGAUGUGGCCUAUGGUAUACUGCAACGGUUACCAUCGCUUGCCAGUAUUUUGAGAAACGCACUUAGUCUGAUUUCAACAGGCUCAAGUGUUGGACUCUUCAUAUAUGCAGCAUUGCAAAGAGAGCUUAUUAUCUGUACGGACUGGAUUGUUGCCUGCUAAUAGUUGGUGCACUAUCUCUAAAUAUGUUAGCAUGUGGUUGCCUAAUGAGACCAUUGGAGUCAUCUGGUUCCCUUCACCAGAAAAAACACGUAUAGACGAAGUCCCAGAUCAAUACUUUGUUUACCACAAAAAAGAAAAGACUGUUGAAGAAAAUAUAAGCAUCCUUGAAAAGGGCUACACUUAUGAGAAAUGCACAAACAAUGUGCCUGACUACAAACAAGAUAACAUUUUAAAUAAGAAUGUAUUAAGCUCAAUAAAUGUAAAUGAGAAAGACACUUAUAAAAAGGAAGUUGUGGAACAGACAAACUUCUGCAAGCAACUAGCCAAAAGAAAAUGGCAGCUCUAUUUGAACUUCUGGGAGGAAAGUGUGGUUCUUUUUAAGGACAGAGUAUUUUCAGCUCUCUUUUUUGCCAUCUUGCUCUUUGAUAUUGGUGGAUUUCCUCCUUCUAUGCUCAUGGAAGAUGUAGCAAGAAGUGCAAACAUCAAUGAAGAAGAUUAUCAUAUGCCCCUUGUUUCCAUUAUAGGCAUUAUGACUGCUAUUGGCAAACUUAUUUUAGGAAUGCUAGCAGAUUUUAAUUGGGUUAACACAUUAUAUCUAUAUGUACUUACCCUACUAAUGAUGGGAGCAGCCUUGCUUGCAAUUUCAUUUGCCAGAAGUUACUUUUCAUUAGCAGUGCUUUCUGGGAUUCUGGGUUUUCUUACUGGGAACUGGUCAAUUUUUCCAUAUGUAACAAAAAAGACUGUGGGAAUUGAGAAACUGAUUCAUGCUUAUGGGAUACUGAUGUUCUUUGCUGGACUUGGAAACAGCCUCAGACCACCAAUUGUAGGUUGGUUUUAUGACUGGACACAGGAGUAUGACACUGCAUUCUAUUUCAGUGGCUUUUGUGUUUUUCUGGGAGGGUUUCUUCUGCUGUUGGCAGCAUUACCCUGCUGGAAUGCCUGUACCAAUCAGAACUACCUCCUAAUACUUACUCUUAUAAAGUUGCAUCUAGUGCUCAGGUGACAACUGGAAAACACUGCUUUAAGCCUUUUAUUAUAUAUUAUAUAGCAAAGGAUUUUAGUAAUUUUUCACAUAUUUAUGAAGUCCAAAAAUCCUUAUCCACUAGAAAAAAUUCUAUUGCUGGUUUAUUUUCAGCUUUUUUUUUCUUUUCCUUUUUUAUCCAUUCCCCCCCCCUUUUUUUUUUAAGAACAGUCCUAUUUUGUCUACUGUGCAUGGUGUUUUCUGCCUUUGUCUACUGUAAUUUCCUCUCAGCCUGUAAUGGACAUAUUGUGCUGUAUUAUUGGCUGUACUGUUUUUUUUUGUUGUUUGUUUGUUUUGGCUUUUUUUGUAAGGGAUAGGGAGUGUGGAGCGUUGAAGACAUUGAAGCAAAAAUGAAGGCCUAUUUCUUAUUGGAGAAGACUGACAUUUCUGUCACCUUCUAUGGGUCUCCAAGUUGCACAAUCAGACUUUAUGAAACAAAAAUUUGCCAUAUGGGAAUAUAAUGCUAUGGCAAGGUGCUUGUAACCUCAUGUUUAGAUUAACUUUCUGACUUAUUAAAGUUUCUCCAACUUACAAUCAAGUGCCAAUGAGGGAGGAAGAACAAAGUCAUCCUUCUGUUGCAUUAAUGAACUUUAUGAUGAAAGUAAAGAUUCUUACUACCACUGCAACUGAGGGCUAUGUUUAUAAUUACUGCACUUCUGGUGAAGUUUGUUUAUAAUACUGUUGAACCAAAAUCUUUUAAACUAAGGAAUAAACAUGAUUUUUGAAACCAUGUAAAGAAAUGCUGACUUGGUUAUGCAAGUUGAAGGUCUUCAGAUAGAAGGUGGAGAUGUGUUUGCAGAAGCCCACAGUUGAGUGUUUCUAAGCAAGUUGCUGCAGUCUGGCAGUACCAGGAGCAUCUCUUGUUGCACAGCUGCAGUUUAGUUGUUUGGGCCUGCUGAAGAGAGCUUAUGAUGAAUCAGAGAGGUUUCAACAAAGUGGAUUUGACUGAAAAAGGAAAAAUGUGGAAUCAAUCUUAUUUUUGCUGCUAUUUUCUGAAUGGAUAUAUCAAGGAGAGAAGCAAAUAAAAGGGGUCAAUAAAAUAUGUGUGGGAGGGAUAGUAGAAGAGGUUCAGGGGCGAGAGUUGCAACACUGGAAUGCCAAGCAGGCCCUAAAUGAGCUCCUGGAACUGCUGCCCUGAAGCUCUCUCACUGCAGUCCAGCUCUGUAUGCCUGUGUUGCUUUUUGCUUAACCCAAGGUUGGUGUGUCUUGGAGGAUGUUGUGUGAGGUGGAAGCUUUUCCUGAGCAAGGCAGGAAGGCUCAGCUGGGCCUGCUUUGCUUUCAGUGCCCUGUGCAGUAGCAUCUGUUGCUUCUCCCACACUGCAGGCUUGUCUCAUUUUUCUUACAUCGUAGUCACAGCAAUGUCCUCUUCACCAAUGGCACGUCCUGUGUGCUUUGGAUAGGUUUAAAGGUAGGUUUGAAGUUUACCGGAACAUGUUGGGAAGCCUUAUAUGAAUUGGAUACUUUUAGUCUUUCCUGAUUUAUGUACUGCUCUCUGCAGAUGCGUAUGUACUUCUCUGCCAUAGUAUAUUCUUCAAAUGUGUGCUGUGAUUCUGGCUCACAAGUAAUCCUUAAGAUAAAAAGAAAUGCAUGUAAUGAGCAGCCUUUGUUGUCAAAUGUCUAUGAACAGAGUUGUUCAUAUGAACAACUAUUGUCUGUGAACAGAGUUACUGUUUUUUCAGAGCUAAUUAUGCAAGAGUCACAUAUCCUGUAAGUGGGGCAGAUAUAAGAGCAGGUGAAGUUCCCUUUUCUAGCCCAAGGUGGAAAAAAACAGGUUGUCUUCAGACAUCUUCUGCUAGCUUUCUGAGACUCUUAUUUCUGCUUGUGUUAAAGUCUGACAAGGCAAUUACAAAUAAAAUCAAGAGAUCAUAAGUUCUGCUUUAGGAUGGCAUGACUUAGAUACCAGAAGACAAGCACUAUGAACAAAACGCUGCAUUUUGGUGUGGACUGUCAUUUAAAUGAGCAGUGGUUAUCCAUUGGCAUGGUAUUUUCAUGUAUUCUUGGAAGAAGCUGUAGUGACGUUUUCACUUGCUAAUGAGGAUUGUGUCAUGGAAGGGCUGGCUAACAGUUGCAGUUGAAUUGAAUUUCUUUGAUUUAGAUAAAAUUUAUUUUUGUACCCUACGGUUCUCCUCUGAUCUUGAUCAUCUAGCAUGUGUGGUUUGCAAGUGACUCUUCAGCUGGGAUCAGCAGGGCUGCCUUCUCCAGCCUUUGCUUCUAACACGGAGCCACUGCAUCCCCUCCUGUUGGACCUGGUCCAGGGCAGGGCAAGCGGCAUGGCAGGGCUGCCCAUGCUACAUCCCCAUCACAGCCUCUCUGUGGGGAGAGUGCUCUGGCUGUGACAAAUCUUGCUACCAAGAAGGACUUUCUUUCCUAUCUGACUGUGUGCUAUGGCAUUCCUGAAACUGAGCUUACUAGAUCAGCAGAACAGACUAUCUGUAGUUUUGAAGGAAAAUUACUGGACCUUAAAGCCUCAAUUAAUUAUUUUUCUUGCUGCUAUUGUGCUUUUUUUUUCUGCUACUGACAGUGUAUUUACAACAGCUACCUCUGCCCCCUCCAACAGGGAUACUCCUGUUUUUAAUGUUUCCAUUAAAAAAAAGAAAAUUGUUUUUUAAGGAAGAAAAUGAAGCAUCUAUAUUUUCCUUUCAUGUUUAUUGUUACAUAUUUUUCCUCUAUUUUCAAGACAUCAGCAGGCAUCAGAAGUAGCUCUUCUGGAGCUGGAGGUCAUGUGUGAGUGAAAGAAGUACAAAAGCAAUCCCCACUGCUCCACCAGACUCCUUUCACCAACCAUGUCUUUUCUCACAAGCCUUCCCUUAUUCACUGGGGUGUUAGGAGACUGAAAGUUUUGGUAUUAAUUUAGAUGCAGCCCUUGAAAGUCAGAGUGGCUGCAAAGAGCGCUACACAUUGCACAGCAAAAAUCUUACAGGAAUUCACUUUGAUCAGGACAAUGGUUUGGACUGAAAUAUAUUUCAUUUGUCAUGUCUGUGGCCUUCAGCUCUUCAUACAACAACAACACAAUGAGAAAUCAUCCAUUUAAACUGUGUUACUUUGUAUGAAAGGGAAUUUCUGUCAAAGACUUAGGUUUCCUUGCUGUGCCUGCAGUUAGGGUUGCAGGACUACCUCUGCAGCAUGCCUCGUGUGCCCUCUAGCUGCUGCAGGCUGCCUGGAGAACUGAAAUAGCUCAGUUGUACAUAAAUGUUGCUUGAUGCAUUUGGUUUUGGACUCAGCAGACAGGUUUUGAAAACAAAUUCGUGGACAAUUGCAGUUAAUGACAAAGUAGAGAGCAAGUGACUUGUUGCAGUCACUGCUUUCUUGUUUGCACUGCUACUGCUGUUAUGAUCAGAGAGAAAAAGCUUGUGCUUGCCACUCAGGCAGGGAAUUUGUUGCUUUAAAAGGUAUGUGCUUAGAGUUUACACAUUCAGCUGAAGUAGUGGGGAAAGAUGUGUCAGCUACGAUACAUACUACAAUAUGUAGAGAGAUGAAGGGUUACAAAUGCUCUGUGUGGCACACAGCCACGGGUUAUAAGUUUUUGGCUGAGGCUUUUUUUCUCUGUGGACAGAUAGCGAAUAGCUACCAGCCUGCAGGCAGAGUUAGCUGGGGAGAUGUUGGCUCUGUCUGCCAUGUGCUUUUUUCUGUCCCAAAGAUGAUACAGUGCACCAAAAUACCAGUGUAAACUGUCACAUAUAAGCACUGGACAGCCACAUAGCUGUGACAGAGACCAGUAGUCACACCAUGGAGUAUCGUAGGAAUAAAGCAUUUUGUUGUCUUUUUUUAGUCAGUCUUUGUGUGGUUCCUUUCCUUGAAGGUAAACAACCAUGAGUUGUAUUUGUUUGUCCUGCUCUAGGACCAUCCGUUCUUGCAGCUAGUACUGUAUCUCUGCUGUUCAUCUGGACAGGGCAUCGAUGCAGUCAGUAAGGAUGUCAGCUGCAGGCUGGACAUCCUCUGCCUGGGGGUAUGGCACUACCAGCCUGGGUGCUGCCUGCACGAGCAACAGCUUUGAAGACGCUUAGCUGUGAAAUUUGUCAUUUCAUAGAGUGGCAGUGCAGGAUGUCUCCUGGCAGGCUUAGGGCCUCUUAGACAGCUGUGCUGAUGGGCUGAGGUGGAGUACAUCAGUGGUGAUGAGAUGCUCCACUGCUGUCUGGACACCAGGAGGUAGCAAUGGCGGGGUUCCCCUCUUGCUGUUCUGCGGAAGGCUGCGCUGCAGGAAGUUAUAUCAGGCUACUGUUCAGCCUACGGGCAGAGCAUGCGAGGGUUCGCUUGGGGCUGUAGUUUCAUAUGCAGCCAAGGAUCAACCAAGGGGCAAGAGGGAGCUGAAAUGUAUUGGACUGUAGUCUACACAACAGUUUCUCCUGCAGCUGUUUUCUCAGCUUUUCCCUUCACAAACACAUAGGGAGAGUCAUUCACUUUCCCAGAGCACGUUCAAGGCAUGCUUUUCUGGUGCUGGAAUAAAGCCUAGCUGUUUUGAGUGUUCUGUUGUUUGUUUACUAUGUACCUGUUUACAAAAUUCACUAAAUUUGUGUUAAGACUCUCUUCCAGUUACAUUUAAUUGCUACAUUACCUGCUUCGUUUUUGCUUAUUUCACAGGAUUGAGUUUAUAUCUGAAGGAAUUAUAAUAGAGCAUGUUGGUCUUAACAGCACUUACAUCUUCCUUAUUCCAAAGAUUGGAUGGAUCCUUGCUCAUAUGCUUACCAAAAUGUUUGUGUAGGUGUUAUAUAAAUCUAUAUAUAUAAAAUAUGCAUAUGCUGUGGGCAACAACAAAAUAUUUUACUACUGCUGGCCGGCAGAGCAAAUAGCAGGAAAUAUGAAUAUUUGUCAAUUUAUAUUCUAUAAGCUGCUAAAAACUAAAUAUCAAAUGCAUGAUGUAUGGGCUUUCAGGAAGCUGUGCUACUGCCUGUUAGGUGCCAUGGAGACAUCUCUUAAUGGUUAUACAUCCCUGAACUUUUGCAAUAUGACGCUGGAUGAAAGUGGCUACCAGGAAUUCUGCUCUGCGAGGAUUGAACUUCUACCUGGGACACACUUGGGGUGAAAUUGCUGAUGAAGAUGAUACUUAGCAAUUAUGCUGUGAUACUUUAAUUACAGAUGAACAGCCCGAUGGAUGCAGUUUGUCUGCACUGCACAGGUGUAUAAUAGGAAGAAAGGUGAUGUCAUCUUCUGAGCAGCACAGCUGAAAUACUGCUGUUCUCCUGCAGGGUAAUAUGGGAGCAAGAUCCUCCCUUUCAGUUUGUGUAAGUGAACUCAUGUCUGAUUCUGUGAGUCUCUCUCAAGUCUUCUCUUGUUUUCAGAGUAAAAUGCUCUUCUUUUCUCAACCCAGCUGCUGUAUCUGAAGAGGGAGGCAUUUAGAGUAAAAUAUCAUUGAUAUUUUUUAAAUAGAGACUUUAACACCUCAAGCUUAUACAGGAAAAAAAGAUAUAAGAUAUGAUAAUUUUUUUAUACAUUUUUGGGGAGUAAUCACUAACGCUUUAGCAUUAGCAUCAUGUUCUAACCUUGCUUAUUAUGUACUGAAAGAGCAGAAGUAGGCUUAGCUUUUUUAAGUGUUUGUGUGCAUUUGUCAAGGCAACAAAACUGAGCAGAACCAAGUCAAAAGUGCCACAAGACUGAACCUGAACGUGUGCAUUUUAUAAGCAGCUUUUUCUGUAGCAGUUGAGCUACGAGAAAGUGUUUUUCCUUUUGUAUACCUAGUUAUAACAAGAUUUAAGAAGGUUUUAGAACAUGCUGGGAAAGCAGUAUUAAAAAAAAAUCAGGUUCUUUCUUUCAAAUGGAAUGUGGAUGCUUAUUUAAAUCUUCAUGACGCAAAACUUUUGUAUUAUUAUCCAUACAAGAAGUAUGGAUAUUUUGGAAUUAGAAUUCUGCUUUCACCGUGCCGCGUAGAACUUGGAAAAAAUGAAUCCUUUCCUCUGUGAUUAAGCAUAGCCAGGAUGACAGAAAAAUGAGAAAAAAAUGCAGCAUAUAAUGUCACAUCAUAGAAUCAUAGAAUGACUUGGGUUAGAAGGGAACCACAAGAAUCAUCAGGUUCCAACCGCUCUGCCACAGGCAGGGCCGCCAUCUUCCACAUAUAGUACUAUACCUAGCUGCCAAGGGCCCUCUUCAACCCGGCCUUGAACACCUCUUAAGGCAAAAUACAGGGGAAGGAAAUGAGGACAGAAGGAGAGUAAUGGACUGGGGGCAUUGUCCCCCUUGCUAGGGCUGAUACUGGUUGAUUUCUACUUGUAUUUUUCUGGUAAAGGAAUAAUUUUGGGUUUGGUUAUACAGCCACAAAGACCAUGUGCUUUCUCCUAAUGUGUGUGUGGCUGAGACUCUGUGAGCUUACCCAUAUCAGAAGGUUCACAGGGGAAAGCUCCACCAAGGAGGGAUCUCCAGAAAGAAAUGAUUGUCUUGUGGGAGUCAGCCCUUAAAUAGGAUCUAAGAGAGUUGCAUCCAGGCUUCAUCCCUCCUGUCACACAGGUGAACUGCCUUCAACUGUGCUCCCAGCGCACACGGGGUCCUUGCUGUAGUUGAUCAGUCAGUGGUUCAGGUAGUGACUCGACACAUUCCAUGCACUUCACUAAAGUGAUACAGUUUGGUAUUUCAUUAGUCGGACCACGGGGAUAAUACAGACUUUGGAACACAAAACUAGCAUGUAGAACUUCUUGCUAAUAUCACUUUACUAGCCUAAAUUGCAUAUACUGAACAAAAAUCUCAACACAGAAAUUACAAGCACAGGUGUAAAGUUGGAAGACUAAUUAGAAGAUCACAGAGAAAGUAUUACUAUGAAUUUCAAAAGAUAAAAAAACAGAAAUAUGGAAAACUGGAUAUUAAAUGUCACUUCUUUCUUUUUAAUCUGUUGCAACCCUUUAUCUUAACUCUACUUAAUUGAUUUUUUUACUGAAAACAUCUUCAUACUGGAAUUAUUCUGUUAUGAUAUUAGUCUUGACUUUUUUCAGUGUGAUAGUACCAAAAGUUUCAAUUAAAAAGGAAGGUAUAUAUCAGAAAAAACUGUAACUAUGUAAAAUAUUCUGAGUUUAGUCUUCAGAGACCAGCUUCAAGUCUUGCUUUUUCUUGACAACUUUAUAAGUUUGGAUCUCUCUCCUGCAGACACUAAUUAGCCUCUAAAGAAAUGAACAUCCCUUCAUCAAAUCAGAAUAAAACCCAAGCACCUCUUUGGAUUCCAAACCCGGAAACAUUUGAUUCUGUGACUCUGUUAAGCAGUGUGAAACAACUUAUUCCUAUCUUGCGGUUCUCCUGUCAGACUUAUUCCUCGAUGCGCUAAACGUCAGUCAGCAAUCUUCUGUAGUUCCGGUAGAGGGCAAUAUAACUAAGCCACCUAUAAAAGGCUUAUACCCUCACCUCCACUGCCAGCCCUUAAAUGAGGUCUGGGAAAGGGUGGAUCCUAGCCCUAACCCUUCCAGUCACUCAGCUGCAUUAAAUGCACCUGAGCCCCCCUGGCUUGGCUCUGCUUUCCCACCACGUGCUCAAUCACUGUUUCAAGCCCUGACUUAGCAUUUCUGCUACAAUAUAAAAUGAAAACUCGCUUUCACAGCAUAACAAAAGGAAUUUUGAAAUGAAAUCAUUGAUAGGAAAGCAUUAUGUUACAGAAUGUCAGUUUAUGGAUCACAAGAGAUCAUGAAACAUUGGUAAAAUGUAAAUGAAAAUGUAAAAAUAGUUGGAUUCUUCACUGCAUUUGGCAUUUACAGCUCCCUAUGUAAAAAAUGGCUGCGAUACUUCCAUUAUUCAUUGUCUGUGGGUGGCUUAUACAAUAACAAGAGACUACAAUUGCAGCUACAAGUCAAACAUUCACAAUGAAAAGGCAGUCCUUGGUAGCAUGUUCUUACAGAGAGAAAAGUAGCUAAAGCUUAAUUAAUAUACGCAUAAAUAUAUACUCUAAUAUGUAUGUAUAUAUACAGUGUCCAAUAAGACACUGAGCUUAGCUAGCAGUUUUUCAAAGGUACUGUGAUACAACUAGAUAAUAGUAAUAUACAAGGGCUGCUCCACAAGUAAUGCCUCCUACUGUAUUAUGUAGGCCCACGACAUCUGAGGUAGAUGUUAGUGGUAUGACAGAAGAGUCUGAACCUUCCCACCUGUAUUUCAUUACACUUUGUUGCCAUGUGACAGCUGGCAGCAGAGGGGCAGUCUGACAAAAUGGCACCUGCUAUGGAAGUGUGUAUGAAGCAAAGGUGUGUCACUGAAUUCCUUCAUGGUUUGAAACUCAUCAUUGCAUAUAAUUUCCAUAGAUUUUCACUUUGUAGAGAAGAAUUACUUGGUAGUUUUACAUCCUGUGGCUUUUUGCAUAGAACUGUUUCUUUAUUAUGAAAAAGAGGUUUGCACUCCGUGCUAUGUACAGCUAAUAAAAGUUCUACUAAAAUUUUAAACAAAACCAUAUGUCUUGCAUUUUAAGGGCUAUGAUUGCCAGCUUUGUUUGAGUAAUUGUACAGAGGCACAUGGAAUCAAAACACUCAAUUGGGAAUGUUGUAUAUUUGGAGAAUAAACUGCAACUACAGCAGUUUAAAAGCAGCCUAUUCUGAUCCUUGCUAGAUCCUUGCUUCAGUGUGCUCCCCCCCACCUCCCCCCAGCUGCUUUGAAAAGGCCUGAUAAACCAGAUCUCUCUUGACAGCACAGAAACUAACAUCAUACCUUCUCUCGGCCAACCAAAACAUUUCUUUUGGUCCCUAUCUUGAUACUCACUUGUUGCAGAGGGUAGCUCAGGCUCACCCUGAGCUCACUUGUUCACUUUCUUCUCAGGACUACUGCCAUAUCCUCAGAGAUUUAAAUAAACUCUUAGUUCUACAUUUCUGAUUUUAAAGCAUCAGCUGAGGUUGUGCUGGGAGAAGGACACCUUAAGAAGAAACUAAACAGAAACUCCACACAUUUUGUAGCUCAUCUCUUUUUAAAGAGUACAGAAAAUAGUUAAGGAAUAAAGAACAUCUCAUUGUUUUGCCCAAAUGCCCUUUCAAAUAACCAAUAUCAGAAAUAUUUUCUAUAGUUUUCAAAUCCCUCCAAAAAUAAUGAAGCAUUGUUUCCCUCUCUAAAAACAACAUUUCUAAUGAGCAGUUUGUGCUUUGAAUUUCCCUUCUGCAUCAACUGAAUGCCAGAAUGAAAGAAUGCACUGGACAGAAAGAAUACACCUAGAAUAUUCUCCCACUACCUGCCCUGUCACAGAGACAGCUGUCAAACCACCUUCCUUGAAGUACUCACAGAGUACUCACAGAGUACUCACACAGACAGAAAGUCAUUCAUUUUUUUGACCUUCAUUUGAAAAGAGAAUGGGGAAAUCGGAGAGGUUCCUCCAUAGACAACUCAUCUCCCAGGAUUCCCCUAAAUGUAUGCAUUUCCCUCUCCAUCACCAGUGCUGAGCUGGCAACAGGAGACCAUUCCAAAUACCUGAGACAUGGUAACUUUACACGAAACACCUGGAGACAAUGUCAUAUUAUAACCUGAAGGAACAGCAUUACACAAAAUGUACUACAGAUGAGUGCAAGGCAAAGAAUAUUCAUAGAACAGUGUCAACCUUUUAAAUAUGUUAACCUAGAUGAAGCAAUUGCCUAUGGCAUGUGGAACAAAAUGAUAUUUUCAUAAAAAUCAGUGAGUGCUACCCACUGAGUACGAACAGGAUUUCACGUAACAGUCAAAUUCUAAUGUGCAAAGAUCCGCUUUGGUUGUAAGUAGUGAAUAAGACAUGGCAAAUAGUACUGACACCUUCUGUGCAGUAUUUCUUUCAUGGGAUGUUUCAAUACUAGCAGUAAUACUGGCUCAAAGAUUGAUUUCUAUCCUCUUAUUCUCACUAGAAGCAUUAGGGUCAGCCCACAAACUGGUGAAUGGACAGGGUCAGACUGACCGUUGGGAAUGGGCAUAAAAGAAAUUUUAACAACCUACUGCUUUAAACUUGCAUACUGAAUACUGCUUUUAGAUACUGAGCAUCUGAAGACUUAAGACUGAAGAAUUAAGCUUAAAUAUACCUGUUUCAGCUUCUAAGCUUUUCGGAUAUUGGUAGGAUUUUGGUAUGAAAUGAAUAUUAUUUGUUGGCUCCUGUCAUACUUGAGAAGCCAGAUAAUUACCACGUCUCCAAGUUGCCUGCAUGAGCUAUUUUCCAGGCAGCAGCUACACUUUGUUUACAGAAAACUUGCAGAGGCUUCAUAGGUGUUCAAAAUAAAGACCCUGUCUGUCAGCUGACAGGUGUCUGUGUACAGAGGGCUUGAGAGUGUCACAUACAGUUGUGAGCAGUGUUAUUAAAAAGAAAAGCCUCAUGAUGAGACUGGGGUGUGCUGAUAACAGGUUGUUUUUUACUGUACUGUAGAAUAUAUCUCAAAAGCUUUUUUUCAAAAGCCAUCAUUUCUUAUGAUUUUUGAGGCUGUAAACUGUUUAGGCUGCUUCUAUAAUUGAUGGUAUACACAGCUGCAUGUUUAAGAUGUCUUUGGGGCCACAUUAGCUUGUGCAGCUCUGGUUAGGGAAUGCAGCACUUUGUUACAUAGAGCUGCUUACAUUGUACAUCUCCUGCCCUCCCUUCAUGUUUUGCUCUUAUACACCACCCAGAGGUGGAUCAAAAGUAGGGGUGCUUCUCCUUUACAGCCCUGUGCCGUCCCUCUUUUUUUGUCACACCAUCUCUAACGCAAACUCCAAAGAGAUUUCUGUUGGAAGUCUUGUGUUUCUGGAUGCGAGGAAGAUCAAUGGCGCGAGCUGCUGGCCGAAGUCAGGAACUGCGUUUGAACAAGGCUGCUUAGCAGACAGUGGAAAGAGAAUGUUAUAGUUUACUUUAGGCUUUGAUUUCUCUUUCUUCCCCUUUUCUUAUCAUAAGAAAAGAAAGAGUGGACGAAAAGAGGAUUUUAGAUAAGCAAGAGAACUGGUCAAAUACAUAUCUCAGGCAAAUACCCCCAUUGAAAUAAGGAGAUGCACAGGGAAUGGGGAGAACCAGGUAGGGACAAGCCAUUCAGCAGGCCUGCUCUUGAGUUCUGUACUACUUUUUUGUUUGGUACCCUAACUACAUCUGUCAUCUAGCACUCUGAGCAAGAUGGAAGGUAACAUUGCUAAAAUGUGUGUCAAAUGUGUUCUGUGUAAGCCUAAAAUACCAACAUUCUUGAAAUAGAGAUGCAGCGAUUACUUUUAAUGUGAUUUCCAUCUUAUAAGCCCCCCUGUUGUGACCCCAAAAUUAAUCACCAGUAGAAUUUCUAUUUUCUGUCUUAUUCCUGCUUACCUCAGUGACCACUUAGGAAAACAAAAUGUGUCACCUUAUGUUGGUCAAUUUGUAUGUCCUUGUAUGGCAUACAACGGAAGUGAACACGGGCUCUAUUAAUAUCUGUUCCUAUAUAAACAGAAUCCAUUUUCUUCAGUUCUCUAGCUAAUGAUGCACUGUGGGAACAAGACAGUCAGAAGCUUGGGGAUUACCCUACAAGGAAGAAUUCCAGUGUUUCUUGGCAAAACUUGCUUUAUGCUCAAGACUGGCUUGCUAAGAGCCAACAGUAACAAGGUCUUAUUUUGGACUGAUGUUUAAAUAAACAGACAGUGAAUAUUUCUGCCUGUCUUUGAAAGAUGAUACACAGAAAUCUCAACGUUUAUUUCAGAAAAGUCUUUUUUUUUUUCUCUCUCUCUUAGUUACAGCAAGAUACUCAAUUUGGAGGCAGUAAGGUGUUAGUCUCGUGAAAUAAGGGAGAAUUUGGAGUCCCAAGUGGAAACUUAUGAAGAAGUCUUCCUUUUCCUUAUUUACUUCUAAAUACUGACAGGAUGGGAAUACUUUUUCUUCUGAAUCCUUUGCCAGUUUCCUUACAAGAAAGAGACAAAACGGGGAAGUAUAAG
Molecule: RNA transcript, 13651 nt
Organism: Gallus gallus (chicken)
Lineage: Eukaryota; Metazoa; Chordata; Aves; Galliformes; Phasianidae
Gene name: monocarboxylate transporter 9-like
Exons: 6
Source: RefSeq, a predicted model, not a curated record